ACGGAAGGCAGCAGCUAAGAAUAUUCCGCAAUGGACGAAAGUCUGACGGAGCGACGCCGCGUGGAUGAUGAAGGCCGGAAGGUUGUAAAAUCCUUUUAUAACUGAGGAAUAAGCAGUGUGAGAGAAACGCCUUAUGGUGACUGUAGGUCAUGAAUAAGCAACGGCUAAUUACGUGCCAGCAGCCGCGGUAACACGUAAGUUGCGAGCGUUGUUCGGAAUUAUUGGGCGUAAAGGGCAUGUAGGCGGUUUUGCAAGCUUGGUGUGAAAUCUCGGAGCUCAACUCCGAAAUUGCGUUGAGAACUGCAUAACUAGAGUCACUGAGGGGCAAUCAGAAUUCCAGGUGUAGGGGUGAAAUCUGUAGAUAUCUGGAAGAAUACCAAUGGCGAAGGCAGGUUACCAGCAGAUGACUGACGCUGAGGUGCGAAGGUGCGGGGAGCAAACAGGAUUAGAUACCCUGGUA
RNAcentral lists this ribosomal RNA (460 nucleotides) under uncultured Treponema sp. Its description in RNAcentral is "partial 16S ribosomal RNA". It matches the Rfam family "Bacterial small subunit ribosomal RNA", at positions 341 to 792 of the family's 1533-position model. Lineage: Bacteria; Pseudomonadati; Spirochaetota; Spirochaetia; Treponematales; Treponemataceae. The record is from RNAcentral.